Molecule: long non-coding RNA, 1939 nt
Organism: Rhinopithecus roxellana (golden snub-nosed monkey)
Lineage: Eukaryota; Metazoa; Chordata; Mammalia; Primates; Cercopithecidae
Exons: 3
Source: RefSeq, a predicted model, not a curated record
UUUUAAGUAUUUUAGGUAGGUAUCACCAUUUAGGUUGGGUAGAAGUAAUUCUUAAAUCUCCAGAAGCAAUCAUAGAUAGGUGGAAGCCGAUAGUCAUUACUAGGCAUCAUGAUUAGGAAAAACAGCCUCUCUCCAAUGAUCCUGAAUGAGCCCUUUGAAUUCAUCUCCUGCAACUGAUCUCCCUGUGGGGAGUGCUAGGGGAGUGGUGAGGGAUGGGUGACAGGAGGGGACCCUAACCCAAUGUAGCUCGGAGCAGGUGAGUUUUAGGAGCAUUUCAGUACCAAACACAGCUUCACGACCGAGAAUCAGCAGUCAUCCCCAGCUUUCCGUUUCAUUUGCUAACCUCUCUAGGAACAACUGGAUGUUGUAAAUGUUUCUCAUCUGGUCUUAAAAUCCAUGAAAGCUGGAAAAUCCCAAGGCAUCUGUGCACAUACUGGUGGAUUUUAAUGAGAGUCCUGUGCUUGGAGCACCAGAAAUAAACCAGCUUCAGAAGCAAAGUAAGAAAAGGCCCUUGAUUGUGACACUGGCCACGGGCAUUACCAUAUGUAGGUGGUAAGUGGACGUUUCUGGGACACCUGUCCUGCAAACUUUCUUUCCACCCUAAGCUGACUUUUGAAAUUGUGCCUGACUGAAAAACUUCUAAGGGGAGAGGUGGUUGGGCCCUCCAGGGGUCCUGUGUUUCUCCUAGGGGGGCAUCUCUCCCUAAUUCCACGUGGUCCUGGUGGUGCUGUCCACCAUGCCGGCAUCCUCGCUCCCGGGGGGACCAGGGGACAAGGAACCCAAUGGGGCUGGGCCAAGGAGAGUCCCCCGAUCACAAUCCCUGGUUCAAAAAUGGCCACGUGCCUGAGGAGCUUUGAAACUACAAAAAUGUCAUUUCCUCCCGAGAACGAAGUUAACAGGAGGAGGAAGCAGAGCUAGAGAAGGAACGAGACCCAGCCAGCCCAGGCUCCAGUGACAUCAGCUGGUACAUGCUCGUUUGCUUACGCGUGUUAAACUGAGUUUUUCAUAUGUAACGAAUACUGGCACAUGGUAUUUGCUGUCUUCAGCUCGCUUUCUCCCCCUGAUAUUCGUGCCUGGCUAUAAUCCCAACUGAAAUCAAAUGCUGUCUGGAAAUCUGACCAAAGAAGCACAGUCCCACUUCCUGCUUCCAUCUCCCCACGUACCAAGGACCACCGUCUACUUUAAGAGAACACGGACAAUUCACCUCUAUAAAGGCACAGCGAGGGAAAGGAGUAGGAAGAGGUGACAGUGGAUCAUGGGGCUUCUCUUGAAGACACUUCCCAGUGACGAACGCUCAUCAUCCAUUUACUGACUUAUCCUUAUGCCACUAGGAUCUGAAUUAUCUAUGACACUCUUUCGAGCUGACACAGUGAAGAACAUGGAAGGAGAACUCACCCAGUCUGCCAGGGUCACAGAUGAUCAUACUCAAGAUCUUCCUGGGGAAUCAAUGGCAAAUUUCACUGGGCUAUUUUACAGAUGAAGAAGGAACAUAAAGAAGGUUCUAGGACCUUGAAGUCCCCGGAAAACCCACUAUUACCUGAUCUCUGGAGCUUGUCAUUUGGCCAAUGGACCCUAAUAAACAUGUCCACGGGGAUGUGGGGAUAGAAUGCUGGAGCCUGGCUCACUUGGGCAGCCAGGUUCUUCCUCUUUGCCCUGCUGUCUCCAGGCACCAAGAAUUUCCUACAGUUCCCCAAAGAUGAACCCCCCCAUUAUCUCAGGUCACUGUUUCCCCUGAUCUUUGCCAAAUUCCUGACUCAGAGUUCCUCCCAUUUGCUUCUGACUCUCAUUCUGUUCUUACAAUGUUUACCAUUUCUGUUGUUCUCAGUGUCCCUCUCUCUGAGUGGUAAGAGUAUGUUAAUAAGCCAGUGCUGUGACCAGAGCACAAGGCAACUGCUCAGUGUUGGUCAUUGCCACUGUUAUUAAAUGUAACUUAAAGGAA